AACGAACGCUGGCGGCAGGCUUAACACAUGCAAGUCGAACGCGUGUAGCAAUACACGAGUGGCGCACGGGUGAGUAACGCGUGGAUAUCUGCCUUUUGGUUCGGAAUAACCCCGGGAAACUGGGGCUAAUACCGGAUGGUUCCUUCGGAAUAAAGAUUUAUCGCCAAAAGAUGAAUCCGCGUACGAUUAGCUAGUUGGUG
Molecule: ribosomal RNA, 200 nt
Filed under: uncultured bacterium
Lineage: Bacteria
Description: partial 16S ribosomal RNA
Rfam family: Bacterial small subunit ribosomal RNA
Source: RNAcentral